CCUUCUCUGUGUUGAGCAGCCUGAAGAGCCUGCACUUGGCACACAGCCCUGGAAGGGUGUGGACAACUGCAGAGAGGUGGCAGUCCUAGCUGGACCCUUGACACAAAUGGAGGUAGAAAUCUCUGUGCCCUGUGUAUCGGGCUGUAGCGCAGCGGGCUAAGCGCAGGUGGCGCAAAGCACAAGGACCGGCAUAAGGAUCCCAGUUCGAACCCCGGCUCCCCACCUGCAGGGGAGUCGCUUCACAGGCGGUGAAGCAGGUCUGCAGGUGUCUAUCUUUCUCUCCUCCUCUCUGUCUUCCCCUCCUCUCUCCAUUUCUCUCUGUCCUAUCCAACAACGACGACAACAACAAUAAUAACUACAACAAUAAAACAACAAGGGCAACAAAAGGGAAUAAGUAAAUAAAAUAAAAUAUUAAAAAAAAAAA
Long non-coding RNA from Erinaceus europaeus (western European hedgehog), 424 nucleotides. RefSeq lists it as uncharacterized. The record is from RefSeq and is a predicted model, not a curated record. NCBI's taxonomy places the organism in Eukaryota, Metazoa, Chordata, Mammalia, Eulipotyphla, Erinaceidae. The transcript is spliced from 2 exons.